GUGCUAGGUUUGUUGGUUAUGUGGUGCUAGUGGUUGAUCAAGUGUUUAUUAACAUAUCAGUUCCAUGAAAGUUGUAAUAGAGGUAGUUAAUAUCAUCUCUUUGAAGUUUGGAUUUGAGUUGUUUUGGAUUUAAAGCUAGUCCUUUACUGUUUAGCUAUGGUUUCCUUCACAUGAUUUGUUUCCCCUUAAUUUGGCUCUAAGCUUAUUUGUAUUGGGUAGCUAAGGAUAAUUCC
RNAcentral lists this long non-coding RNA (233 nucleotides) under Nicotiana benthamiana. Its description in RNAcentral is "long non-coding RNA (NBEN_LNC027272)". The record is from RNAcentral. Lineage: Eukaryota; Viridiplantae; Streptophyta; Magnoliopsida; Solanales; Solanaceae.